GGACCUCUGAGAUCAUCAAGUCCAACCUUGACCCAAGAGACCUACAGAAAGUUUAAUGGGAAGACAGUAGGAAAAUAGGAAACAGUGGCCCUAUCCUGACCUCAAUUACUUUGAGUGGCCUCUACACUAUGUCGAUGGAAGGAGGAGGCGCGCUCCCGCAGGCAGAAGGGGACUGCACUUGUCGAAGGAAGCUGUAGAUGGUGCUGUUGGCCCAGGAAAGCAAAUCUG
Long non-coding RNA from Chiroxiphia lanceolata (lance-tailed manakin), 228 nucleotides. RefSeq lists it as uncharacterized. The record is from RefSeq and is a predicted model, not a curated record. The transcript is spliced from 3 exons. NCBI's taxonomy places the organism in Eukaryota, Metazoa, Chordata, Aves, Passeriformes, Pipridae.